Sinocyclocheilus grahami is the source of this 221-nucleotide long non-coding RNA. RefSeq lists it as uncharacterized. The record is from RefSeq and is a predicted model, not a curated record. The transcript is spliced from 3 exons. NCBI's taxonomy places the organism in Eukaryota, Metazoa, Chordata, Actinopteri, Cypriniformes, Cyprinidae.
AAUUUACAUUUUUAAGUUAAAGCAGCACUAAGUAACUUUUGUCGCUCUAGCGGUUAAUAAACAGAACUGCACACAUCCCGCGGAAGAACAUUCCAACCGGAGCUACUUCUCUAAGUUUAUGUCUAUGGCGAUUCACGCAGGUAUGUGUUCCUCCGCAGCGGUGAUGACUCGACCAGGCUACAAUAGUCCAAAUAUAAGUACUUAUUAUAAGUGUAGCGUAG